UACGAAGGUCCCAAGCGUUAUCCGGAUUAUUGGGUUUAAAGGGUGCGUAGGCGGGUUAUUAAGUCAGUGGUGAAAGCUCCAUGCCUAACAUGGAAAUUGCCAUUGAUACUGAUGAUCUUGAGUACAUUUGAAGUGGGCGGAAUGUGUCAUGUAGUGGUGAAAUACUUAGAUAUGACACAGAACACCGAUUGCGUAGGCAGCUCACUAAACUGUAACUGACGCUGAGGCACGAAAGCGUGGGGAGCAAACAGG
RNAcentral lists this ribosomal RNA (252 nucleotides) under uncultured bacterium. RNAcentral describes it as "partial 16S ribosomal RNA". It matches the Rfam family "Bacterial small subunit ribosomal RNA", at positions 524 to 776 of the family's 1533-position model. The record is from RNAcentral.